UACAUGGGGUGCAAACGUUGCUCGGAAUUAUUGGGCGUAAAGCGCGCGUAGGCGGUUUCUUAAGUCGGAUGUGAAAGCCCUCGGCUUAACUGAGGAAGUGCACCCGAAACUGAGUAGCUAGAGUACGAAAGAGGGUAGCGGAAUUCCCGGUGUAGAGGUGAAAUUCGUAGAUAUCGGGAGGAACACCGGUGGCGAAGGCGGCGACCUGGGUCGAGACUGACGCUGAGGCGCGAAAGCGUGGGGAGCGAACAGG
This 253-nucleotide ribosomal RNA is filed under the name uncultured bacterium. RNAcentral describes it as "partial 16S ribosomal RNA". It matches the Rfam family "Bacterial small subunit ribosomal RNA", at positions 524 to 776 of the family's 1533-position model. The record is from RNAcentral.